AUCUAGCUAACGAGUCCCAAAUAAGACGGAACAUACGUCCUGAAU
This is a non-coding RNA of Schistosoma mansoni, 45 nucleotides long. The record is from Rfam. Lineage: Eukaryota; Metazoa; Platyhelminthes; Trematoda; Strigeidida; Schistosomatidae.